GACGAACGCUGGCGGCGUGCCUAAUACAUGCAAGUAGGACGCACAGUUUAUACCGUAGCUUGCUACACCAUAGACUGUGAGUUGCGAACGGGUGAGUAACGCGUAGGUAACCUACCUAUUAGAGGGGGAUAACUAUUGGAAACGAUAGCUAAUACCGCAUAACAGUAUGUAACACAUGUUAGAUGCUUGAAAGAUGCAAUUGCAUCGCUAGUAGAUGGACCUGCGUUGUAUUAGCUAGUAGGUAGGGUAAAGGCCUACCUAGGCAACGAUACAUAGCCGACCUGAGAGGGUGAUCGGCCACACUGGAACUGAGACACGGCCCAGACUCCUACGGGAGGCAGCAGUAGGGAAUCUUCGGCAAUGGGGGGAACCCUGACCGAGCAACGCCGCGUGAGUGAAGAAGGUUUUCGGAUCGUAAAGCUCUGUUGUUAAGGAAGAACGAGUGUGAGAAUGGAAAGUUCAUGCUGUGAC
RNAcentral lists this ribosomal RNA (471 nucleotides) under Streptococcus anginosus. RNAcentral describes it as "bacterial SSU rRNA". It matches the Rfam family "Bacterial small subunit ribosomal RNA", at positions 28 to 473 of the family's 1533-position model. The record is from RNAcentral. Lineage: Bacteria; Bacillati; Bacillota; Bacilli; Lactobacillales; Streptococcaceae.